RNAcentral lists this unclassified non-coding RNA (2888 nucleotides) under Helicoverpa zea (corn earworm). RNAcentral's name for it is "aTP-binding cassette sub-family D member, transcript variant X1". The record is from RNAcentral. Lineage: Eukaryota; Metazoa; Arthropoda; Insecta; Lepidoptera; Noctuidae.
UCUGCGGUCGCGAGUAGCGACGCACGCGCCGGCAGUGGGUAGACGAUCCAUUUUUCAAAAAUCGAAUCUGUCAAUAGUGUUGUGUUGUGGUGUUGUAUUUGAUUGUGUUUUGUUACUCUUUUGGACUGUCCUCUGUACAUCAUCAACUUAAAGUGAAUUGGAUAUAAGCCUCUCUGAAGCUUCACCAUAAGAACAAUGGACGAAGAAACAUCACAAUAAUGACCUGAACACCAACAAAUAUUAAUUCACUGUGAUUUAAUUUAAAUUUAAGUCAAAGAUCUCCCUAAUUUAAGCAUAAAUGAUCACAGUUAUAAAGGAGGGAUAAUUUACCAAAAAUGCCUGCGAUUUUGACAAAGAUUCGAGAGCAGGCGUCGAGGGUUCAGCCCUCGAUAGCUUUGGGGGUGGGAGUGGGGGUGGCGCUAGCUGCCUGCGCUGUCUAUGGUACCAGGGAUAAGAAACAAACUCCGCCGUGCAACAAUAAUAAUAAUUAUAAGGUGACGAAAAACGGCAAGCUUCACUCGCCGGAGAAUGGUGCGGCUACCGGCGACACCUGCGGCGGCCGCUGCGGCGCCGAGCAGUGCGCGCUGUGCCGCGGCGACGCCGACACUGAUAAUAAGCAGAAUAUUGAAGAUGCAGAUGAAACACAAUCAGUGGAGGAAUACGUGCCAGGUUUGAACCUGGAGUUCCUCCGGCAGCUGAUCUCGUUGGCCAGGAUCAUGGUGCCAGGAGUGAGGAGUCACGAGGUGGCGCUACUGUCUGCUCACACGCUGUGCCUGUUCACAAGGACCUUCCUGUCUAUUUAUGUAGCUUCUUUAGAAGGAUCUAUUGUGAAACACAUAGUCCAAAAGGACAUGCGACGCUUCGCAGCGCUCCUACUCCAAUGGUUCGGCAUAGCUGUUCCGGCUACCUUCAUAAAUUCCAUGAUCAGAUACCUGGAGAGCAGACUAGCUCUCGCCUUCAGGACCCGGCUGGUCAACCAUGCUUAUGACUUGUACUUCAAGAACCAGACUUACUAUAGGGUUGCCAAUUUAGAUGCUAGGAUUGAAAAUGCUGAUCAUAGGUUAACAGAAGACGUGUCAGUGUUCACGCAAUCGGUGGCACACCUGUACAGCUCGUUGACGAAGCCGUGCUUCGACCUGCUCCUCAUCGUGCUGACCCUCGCCACCUACUCCAAUAAGAUGAAGGGCAAUAUCUUUAUUGGACCCAGCAUAGCCACAGUAGUGAUCUGCAUGACCGGGCAGCUACUCCGACUACUCAGUCCAAGGUUCGGUGCUUUAGCCGGGGAGGAGGCGCGCAUGAAGGCCAACUUGAGGCACGUGCAUGCACGAUUGAUUGCCCAUGCUGAGGAGGUGGCUUUCUAUGGUGGACAUAAGGUGGAACUAGGCCAGCUCCAAGCAGCCUACAAGGAGCUAGUAGCCCAGAUGACGUCGGUCUUCAACAAGAAGCUCUGGUACGUGAUGCUGGAGCAGUUCUGCAUGAAGUACGUCUGGUCAGGGACGGGGAUGGUCAUGUUGGCACUGCCUAUUCUGACGGCCACGCAUUCUCAGAGAGAUGGAAGCAGUAUAAGUGACCGCGCGGAGUACAUGACGACGUCUAGGAAUCUGCUCAACUCGGCCGCCGACGCUAUCGAACGGCUCAUGUCCAGUUAUAAGGAAAUAGUGACACUAGCAGGCUACGCGACCCGAGUAUCGGACAUGCUGGUGGUGUUCGGCGAAGUGGCGCGAGGCCAGUGCGUGCGCAGCGUGCACGUCACGGCGCCGCACGCCGCCUUCCAGGUCACCUUCCGCGACAACCGACCCGUGCCGCAAGGUAAAAUUAUCUACACGAGCGACCACUCUAUCCGACUGCGCGGAGUGCCCGUGGUGACGCCGGCGUGUGACGUGGUGUGCGGCGGCGUCACGCUCCACAUCCAGCCCGGGACACAUCUGCUGAUAGUGGGGCCUAAUGGAUGCGGGAAGUCUAGUUUAUUCCGCAUAAUCUCCGGCUUAUGGCCGGUGUUCGGCGGCGAGCUGCACGUGCCGCGGCCCUGCGCCUGCGCACACUGCGCAGAUGAUACCAACUUCAACGAUACCGGCUCUUGUACUUCUAGGCCUAUCAUGUUCUAUAUACCGCAGAGGCCAUACAUGUCAAUGGGCUCUCUAAUAGACCAAGUAACCUACCCCUCGCGGGCCAAAGAAGGCGACGUCGCCGCAGAACGUCGUGCCGCACAUAUACUGAAGCUCGUCCGCCUCGACGCCGCCGCCGCCAGGCACGGCGGGCUCUGGGCCGUGCGGGACUGGCGGGCCACGCUGUCCGGCGGGGAGAAGCAGAGGAUGGCCAUGGCCCGGAUGUUCUACCACAGGUCAGUGUAGUGCAGCAUAGUACUGUGGGCCUGCGGGACUGGCGGGCCACGCUGUCCGGCGGGGAGAAGCAGAGGAUGGCCAUGGCCCGGAUGUUCUACCACAGGUCAGUGUAGUGCAGCAUAGUACUGUGGGCCUGCGGGACUGGCGGGCCACGCUGUCCGGCGGGGAGAAGCAGAGGAUGGCCAUGGCCCGGAUGUUCUACCACAGGUCAGUGUAGUGCAGCAUAGUACUGUGGGCCUGCGGGACUGGCGGGCCACGCUGUCCGGCGGGGAGAAGCAGAGGAUGGCCAUGGCCCGGAUGUUCUACCACAGGUCAGUGUAGUGCAGCAUAGUACUGUGGGCCUGCGGGACUGGCGGGCCACGCUGUCCGGCGGGGAGAAGCAGAGGAUGGCCAUGGCCCGGAUGUUCUACCACAGGCCUGUAUACGCGUUACUAGACGAGUGCACUAGCGCCGUCUCCAUGGAGACGGAGGUUGUUAUGUACGAAGAAGCCGUUAAGGAAGGCAUCACGUUGCUCUCCAUCACACACAGGCCUAGUGUCUGGUAAG